Molecule: long non-coding RNA, 1297 nt
Filed under: Phaseolus vulgaris (common bean)
Lineage: Eukaryota; Viridiplantae; Streptophyta; Magnoliopsida; Fabales; Fabaceae
Description: long non-coding RNA (PVUL_LNC005000)
Source: RNAcentral
CAGAAGACAAUAUAUAUAGUGGCUUAAUUGACAUAAUUCCACCUCAACCAAGGAGAACAAUUAAAAAUAAAUAGGAAAGCAAACUACUUUUACACUCACAAAACACAACCAAAGAAAUAACAAAUGCUAGAGACCAAAUUUGACCAAAAUUUUUUAUCUAUCAACAUUAUUUCCAACAAUUUUAGGAUAGAAUAGAAGAGUAAGAUAAGAACAUAAUAGUAUAAUAUAAGUGCAGGAUAAGAAGCAGUAGUCCUAUAUAAUGGUGUUGGUGGUGAUGGUGAUAAUGGAAGUGGUAGAGGAGAUAGUGGUGGCAACAACGGUGACAAUUACAACAAUAUCAGUAACAAGAUUAUAGCAACAUUAAUGGUGGUGACGUUGAGAGUGGAGGUAACAAUGGUAAUAAUAACAUAGUUGUUGUGGGAGUCAUAACAACAAUGGCAAAACUCCUAGUAAUGAUAACAAUGGUGGAGGAGGUUGUAGUUGUUGUGGCAACAAUAAAGGUGGUUGUGGUGGUGGUGAUAAUGACGAUGACAGAAGUAGCAACUGGUAGUCGUGAUGGUGUAGCGAUAGUUGCUGCAAUAGAGAUGUGAUAAGUACACAAUCACUUAGGAAACCCACCCUCAAAGGUAAUACUAUUAAGUAGGGUAACCAAACACUUAAACACUCCAUUGAGCAUCCAAUAGUUGAUAUCUCAAACAACUCUCACUCUAUAAGACUUAGUCGACUGAUGACACUUCACUCAACUCUCUCCCAGGUCAAAACCCUUCAUAGGUAGUCCUUUUCGAGGAAUUGACAACCAAUUCUAAUACCAAGUAAUAAGUACCCAAGCACUUGGAGAACCCACCCUCAAAAGCUAUCUAUUAAGGGGGCAGAACUAAAAAACGUAAAUACUCCAUCGCACAUCCCAUACGACUCGAUGUGGGAUUUGGGCACCCUAUAAUACCAAGUUCCUAUCAUGAUGACAUGGAGGUGAAGCAAUGGAGUAGUGAUAAUUGCUAAAGUAACCAUGGUGAUGGUGAUGAAACUAAUGGUGAUAGUGAAAAUGAUGGUUGCUACAACAAAGAUGAUGAUGAUUAUGAUGAUGAUGGUAAAAGCAAUGUAUAUAAGGGUGGUGGCAACAACAGUGGCACGGGUGAGGGAGGUGACAACAACAAGGGUGUUGGUGGUAGUGGCAACAACUACAAUGGUGGUGACAAUGAUAGAAGUGAGGGUGGGUAGUGAGAGAGCGAGAGAGAAGUCAACUAUAACUAUCUCAUCAUGUUGUCUUCUAACUAAACUCUACCUAAGUAGAAAAAAU